UACAGAGGGUGCGAGCGUUGUCCGGAAUCACUGGGCGUAAAGGGCGCGUAGGCGGCCAGCACAAGUCAGUUGUGAAAUCUCCGGGCUUAACUCGGAAAGGUCAACUGAUACUGUGCGGCUAGAGUGCAGAAGGGGCAACUGGAAUUCUCGGUGUAGCGGUGAAAUGCGCAGAUAUCAGGAGGAACACCGGUGGCGAAGGCGGUUCUCUGGGCAUGUCCUGACGCUGAGGAGCGAAAGUGUGGGGAGCGAACAGG
RNAcentral lists this ribosomal RNA (254 nucleotides) under uncultured bacterium. RNAcentral's name for it is "partial 16S ribosomal RNA". It matches the Rfam family "Bacterial small subunit ribosomal RNA", at positions 524 to 776 of the family's 1533-position model. The record is from RNAcentral.